UUGCUUGCUUGCUUGCUUGCAGUGGCGGUAAAUGAUUUGCUAGAAAGCCAGCUUUCUUUAACUUUAGACCAUUUUUGUAUGUUUUUUCCUUCUCCCGAAUCAUGAAGCUUUGUUUUUACAGGCAUUCUUCUUCACAAGCCUCGCUGCUCUCUGCAUCUUCAUAGUUGCCUGAGAGGGCACAGGGCAUUGAUUUAAGCUGACCAGCUUACUUGGUGAUGAAGGAACCGAACGUCUCCCUCUAUCCUUUGUCAUGUCCUAUCCUUUUGUAUCCUGUUCUGUUCUUUUUCUCCUCUGUCUGCUUGCACCUGCAAGCUUUCUAAAAACGCCUUUCUAAACGCCCUUCUUGUCCAAAAUGAUGAACCCUUGCCAUCGUCCAAAUUGAAGAACCUAUACUUGCAUAAACACCCAAUCCUGUGGGAUUCUAACCAGAUCUGUUGUACCCUGUAUACUGUUUUCCUGUGAUUUGUUUCAGGUCAGACGAUUAUUUAAAGAAGCAGUUUUUCCAGUUGAAGGCCAUCACUACAGGGGCCCCAGACCAUUUGCAGCUGAAGACACACAUUCACAUCAUUCACUGAAGCUGUAGUUACUGGUCAUAUCUCAUAGCCGUACAUUGCAAGAGCAAAACAAACAGCAGCUUCAAGUGUGUAUAUUUAUACAUGAACAUUUACUGUUGAAGGAUUUUAGGCUUGUGCAUUUAUUUAAUUCAUUUGUCAUUUUAUAGUUUAUUCAUAGUUUAAGCCAGCUUAAAGCUCUUGAUGGUGAAGAAUCGUAAUACUUGGGAUUCAGUCAUUUAAUUUUUGAAUUAUACGAAUGUUUAAUGCUUCUGUUUAAUUGAAUAAUACAGUGUGUACAUUGUUUCUGCUUCUGAACAUUUCUAAGCAUAUUUAUUAAAUACUGUAAGUUUAUUAGAA
Molecule: long non-coding RNA, 911 nt
Organism: Pygocentrus nattereri (red-bellied piranha)
Lineage: Eukaryota; Metazoa; Chordata; Actinopteri; Characiformes; Serrasalmidae
Exons: 3
Source: RefSeq, a predicted model, not a curated record